This 3378-nucleotide long non-coding RNA is filed under the name Mus musculus (house mouse). RNAcentral's name for it is "predicted gene, 40466 (Gm40466)". The record is from RNAcentral. Lineage: Eukaryota; Metazoa; Chordata; Mammalia; Rodentia; Muridae.
GUGCUGGCGCCCAGCCGCUGGACGCGGUAGAAGGGCAGACAGAACGCAGAUCUGGGGUUGGGGCUGUUGCAGUGUCCGCCGGAGCGGUUUGGGAAGUGCACGGGGCGACGAUGGCGGCGGAGCGGCAGGAGGCGUUGAGGGAGUUCUUGGCGGUGAAGGGCACUGAGGAGGUCAGGACCCUUUCUUCCUGGAGUCGGCUGGCUGGGACCUGCAGAAGCUGACUGUGGAGGUGAACAACCCUGGUGUGGUGUCCUCGGUGAGGGAAGAUAUUCCAUUCCAGAGGAGGUCUAUACAUCUGGGAGGCCGCCAUCCAAAAGAAAGCCACUCUGUUGGUGUAGGGAGUGACAGCUACAUUCUCCUGUGCCUACUGCAUAACCAAAAAUGAAGAACUACUGUUUCCAAGCUGCCCUGGUGUGCCUGAGCAUGCUGUACCACAGCCAGGCGUUUGCCCUGGAGUGACGAAGCCACCUGCAUCCUUCUUUCCAUGGACACCAUGAAAAGGGAAAGGAGGGGCAGGUGUUGCAAUGCUCCAAGAGAGGUUGGAUCUGGAACCAGUUUUUUGUGAUAGAUGAGUACACUGGGCCCGACCCUGUGCUGGUGGGCAGGGCAUGUACCAGAUGUCUGUUUCAGAAGCAGCUGUCCCCAGGGAAGGAAGUAGGAAGGGUGAAGGCUGAAGACCCAGACAUUGGAGAAAAUGGCUUAGUCACAUACAAUAUCGUUGAUGGAGACGGCAUAGAACUGUUUGAAAUCACAACAGACUGAAACACAGGAUGGUGUGGUGAAGCUGAAAAAGGACCUUUUAGCCCCAAACACACUCACCACUUGGAGGGAAGCAAAAAUUCCAAAGAACACAGUUUGGGAAACACUGACCAGUAAGAAAGUCUCCAGUUUUGUGCCAGGAGACUGUGAAGAGUCCCUCAUCCUAGCUACCUGGAAGCCGGUAUUCUGCUAGCAUUCUUCAGAUGAAGAUGUAGAACACUCAGCUCCUCCUGCAUCAUGUCUGCCUGGAUGCUGCCAUUUUCUCACCUUGAUGAUACUAGAUUGAACCUCUGAACCUGUAUCUUCUCCACUUCCUUCCUUGUCCCCUCAAAGAUCUUGACUAACAUCAAGGCAACACCUUCUUUGUAGAUGAAAGAGCAGUUGGGCUGUCAGCUGCUCAAACCGUGUUGUUGUGCAACCUCGUUUGAAAACUAUGUGAGGAAGAAUAAACAACCGUGAAUGUGGAGUCAAGGAGACCUGAGGGUGAAGCCCAGCUUGGCUGCCUGCCUGCUGUGGACCUUGGACAAAUUGCAUGGCAAUUCUGGGUCCCUGAUCUCCUCUUCUGACACACCAUGACCUGGUGUAAUGUGGGACGCCCGACUUGCCUGCAAGUAAGACGCCACAACAGGAUCCUUCUGCAACACGUUUAUUGGGAGAGCAUGGACUGAGUAGGCGAAAGACCCCGAGCCCCAGAAAUGGCGCUGCUUAUAUAGGCCCACGAGUGACGUGUCCAUACCUGAUUGGUUAUGCUACCAGUACCUCAUUAAUAUGCGUCGGGCCAGGCAGUGACUCAGCAAAAAACUCUUAUGCACAUGCUUACAUUGGUUGUUUAUCCAUUAUCAUGGGUGGUGGCCAGUGGUAGCCAGCGCCAUCUUAUAAUGGUGUUUGCGGCUUCCCACAGUGUAAGGAGUUGCAUCUGUAUGAAAUCAUCUCCAUUUGGUUAUUCACUGGGGAGUCAGUGUCAGGUGGAUCCCUGGGGCUUGCUGACUGGCCCGCCUAGCUCACUGAUUAGGUACACCACUGGGGGAUCCGCUCUUAAAAUGAAGUGGGCGGUGCUUGAGGAGUGAAAUCUGAGCUGUCCUCCAGCCUCCACACACAUGUGCACCACACACAAGCACUGGUCAUUUGGCCAGUGAGAUACUUCACUCCCAAGAUUUGGAUACUAGCAUAUAUUUCUAAAGUUGAACAAAUAUCCACUAAAUGGGACUUCCGAUUGAGAAUACUGGAGCCACACUGUCCAAUUUAUGACUACCAAUACUGGAUAAUCCAUUAGAAUCUAGACUUUCCAACUCAAGACUAUCAAAUACAGGAUAGUCUACCCAUAUUGGUCAAUACGUGGUCUAUUUUAUCCCAUUCACUUGGUGUGGAGUGAUGGAUGCCCGAAGUCACGCACUAAUAUUCCAAAAAUAAAAAGCACACACUCACAGAUGAACUUUGUGUAGCUUAUGAAGUGCUGAAAAUAUUCAAAUUGUUUUUGACAUUUCAAGACCAAGAAGUUUAAUACAGAAACUUGGGUUUCCAGUUUACUGGACAACAUUGUCCUCAUGGGGACCCAAUUCCCAUUUUGAUGCAACUGUUUGGGGCUGAGUCUCAAGUGUCCUCUCCAGAAGUGAGUAUAUGUUUUCUCACUGUGAUGGUCACCUGGUUCCUUUGAGCAUCUGAGUGUAUGACCCCACCCCUGGUCUGUGCUAACCUAUGAAAAUCUAGGAACUAGCUAGCUUAAGCUUGUCUGGGAGAGAGCACUCAAGGAAGCCAUGACAAUGUGUGUCAUCAUACACUGACUGAGAACCAUUUAUUCAGAUAGGUUGCUCCUCCUGGCUCCUAUAUGGCAGGGUUAGCCCUUUAAAGCAGUGUUUCUCAACCUGUUCUCGACCCCGUUGGGGGGUCACAUAUCAGAUAUCCUGCAUACAUACCAGAUAUUUACAUUGUGAUUCAUAACAGCAGCAAAUGUACUGUAUGAAGUAGUAAUAAAAUAAUGUUAUGGCUGGGGGUCACCACAACAUGAGGAACUGUAUUAAAAGGCUACAGCAUUAGGAAGGUUGAGGACCACUGCUCUAGAGACUGUUGGGCUUCUAGCUGGGUUUUGUGGCUGCUCGUAGGUUCCGGGUCGCAUGAUCUAACAGUCAACUCCUCACUUUGGAUGUCCUUUCUGAUCCAGAAGACAUCAGAGGCCAUACUUAGUGAAUUGAACUAGGUAUCAUGUAAGAAGUGGCGGAGAAAGCCUAGAGUCUCAGUGAAUGUGUAUUGUUGACAUCAGAUAAAGACAUGUUGUCACAGACCUCAGAAUCUCAGACCUAUGGAGAAAAUGGCAAUGUCUCCUCUAAGGGGAGAGGCUCAGAGGAAAAUGGCAAAGCCUUCCUCUGGACCAAAUGUAGAUAUUGAGAGUGUGCACAGGAAAUGUCCACUGUAGCUUUCUCUCCCUGGAUAUUUAUAGUCUGAAGACUGUUCCCCUAUAAAGACCAUUCCUACUAAGAUUAGGUAAACCUGUCUACUUGAUCCAGCUGUAUACCAUACACCCUGUCUCCUUUGUUUAUCUGCACCUACUAACCCCACUUCCUUGUUCAGCCAUAUGCACUCACCCUGCCUCUCUGUUUAUAUAAUAAAAACAUGUUUCCAUUA